GACGAACCGUGCGAACGUUAUUCGGAAUCAUUGGGCUUAAAGGGCGCGUAGGCGGCUUGGCAAGUGGAUGGUGAAAUCCCUCGGCUUAACCGAGGAACUGCCGUCCAAACUGCUUUGCUUGAGGCCGGGAGAGGCGAGUGGAACUCCCAGUGUAGCGGUGAAAUGCGUAGAUAUUGGGAGGAACACCAGUGGCGAAGGCGGCUCGCUGGACCGGUUCUGACGCUGAUGCGCGAAAGCGUGGGGAGCAAACGGG
Molecule: ribosomal RNA, 253 nt
Filed under: uncultured bacterium
Lineage: Bacteria
Description: partial 16S ribosomal RNA
Rfam family: Bacterial small subunit ribosomal RNA
Source: RNAcentral